This 253-nucleotide ribosomal RNA is filed under the name uncultured bacterium. Its description in RNAcentral is "partial 16S ribosomal RNA". It matches the Rfam family "Bacterial small subunit ribosomal RNA", at positions 524 to 776 of the family's 1533-position model. The record is from RNAcentral.
GACGGAGGAUGCAAGUGUUAUCCGGAAUCACUGGGCGUAAAGCGUCUGUAGGUGGUUUAAUAAGUCAACUGUUAAAUCUUGAGGCUUAACCUCAAAAUUGCAUUCAAUACUGCGUUGCUUGAGCGCUGUAGAGGAGAUUGGAAUUUACGGUGUAGCAGUGAAAUGCGUAGAUAUCGUAAGGAAGACCAGUGGCGAAGGCGAAUCUCUGGGCAGCUGCUGACGCUGAGGCACGAAGGCCAGGGGAGCGAACGGG